CCUCUCGGGGGUAAGCGGGCAGAACUUGCAAGUAUUGAUGGGAGAUUCAGGCUUAGUGUCUGUGGCUGGGAGUGCUUAGUAGGUUGGCCAUUCGUGGUUUGACCGGUGUGUGCUCCUUGAUCCAUGGGCUCUGCGCCGCAUUUCUCUCUAUCAUCCGGGUCACAUGCAACUGUAUGGUAGUCUAGGUGCUGGGUGUCUGCAAAUCCUCGUGGUUUGAGCCCUGGUUUCCGGCUACUGUAGCGGUUGUUGAAAUAGGAGCAAGCGUUUGACGCGGUCGUGGAUUUUGGCGAGCAGGGUGCUCAUGAUGUGUGGACGGGUAACCGUAGCAUGUUGUGCGUACUGGUUGACAGCCAGAGUUUUUGCGGCUUUGCUCGAUGAUUGUGAUCUAAAACAUGCGUGGUCUGCCUGU
Molecule: ribosomal RNA, 409 nt
Filed under: Allacma fusca
Lineage: Eukaryota; Metazoa; Arthropoda; Collembola; Symphypleona; Sminthuridae
Description: partial 28S ribosomal RNA
Source: RNAcentral